Molecule: ribosomal RNA, 261 nt
Filed under: uncultured archaeon
Lineage: Archaea
Description: partial 16S ribosomal RNA
Rfam family: Archaeal small subunit ribosomal RNA
Source: RNAcentral
UAGCCGUAAACGAUACUCACUAGGUGUCGGCCACGGUGCGACCGUUGUCGGUGCCGUAGGGAAGCCGUGAAGCGAGCCACCUGGGAAGUACGGCCGCAAGGCUGAAACUUAAAGGAAUUGGCGGGGGAGCACCACAACGGGUGGAGCUUGCGGUUUAAUUGGAUUCAACGCCGGAAAUCUUACCGGGACCGACAGCAACAUGAAGGCCAGGCUGAAGACUUUGCCGGAUUAGCUGAGAGGAGGUGCAUGGCGUAGUCGUGU